RNAcentral lists this ribosomal RNA (381 nucleotides) under uncultured marine Chaetocerotaceae. Its description in RNAcentral is "SSU rRNA". It matches the Rfam family "Eukaryotic small subunit ribosomal RNA", at positions 587 to 972 of the family's 1831-position model. The record is from RNAcentral. Lineage: Eukaryota; Bacillariophyta; Thalassiosirophyceae; Chaetocerotales; Chaetocerotaceae.
AGCUCCAAUAGCGUAUAUUAAAGUUGCUGCAGUUAAAAAGCUCGUAGUUGCAUUUCCGAGGCAAGGGAUUAGUCCGACCUUUGGUGGGUAUUUACUCCUCUUGCCUCGUCCUUGAGUGGUGCUUCUUGGUAUUAAGUUAUCGCGGAGAUAGCCGCUCAUCGUUUACUGUGAGAAAAUUAGAGUGUUCAAAGCAGGCUUAUGCCGUUGAAUAUAUUAGCAUGGAAUAAUAAGAUAGGACCUCGGUACUAUUUUGUUGGUUUGAGAACCAAGGUAAUGAUGAAUAGGGACAGUUGGGGGUAUUCGUAUUCAGUUGUCAGAGGUGAAAUUCUUAGAUUUACGGAAGACGAACUACUGCGAAAGCAUUUACCAAGGAUGUUUUCA